AGCCACAUUCCACGUAGACAAGUGAAAGUCCGCGAAUUCAAGAUUCCAAAGUUUAAAUUCUCUUUCGGGUUCGACGCUUCAGAUGUUUUGAAAGGAUUGGGACUGACUUCACCAUUCAGUGGCGAAGACGGUUUAACUGAGAUGCUUGAAUCUCCAGAAAUGGGGAAGAAUCUAUCUGUAUCGAACAUUUUCCAUAAAGCGUGUAUCGAAGUGAACGAAGAAGGAACAGAAGCUGCAGCCGCAUCAGCUGGAGUUAUAAAACUAAGAGGUUUGCUUAUGGAGGAAGAUGAGAUAGAUUUUGUGGCGGAUCAUCCGUUUCUGUUGGUGGUGACUGAGAACAUAACAGGAGUGGUUCUGUUCAUAGGCCAAGUCGUUGAUCCGUUGCAUUGAAAACUAAUUUGGAGCUUACUGGUUUUACUUAUAAGAGUAAUCAAUAAAAUGAGCUGAGUGUCGUUACGAGUGGUGUGACUUAUCUUUUGAUAUGUGUAAUAAUAAUAACAUCCUUUUUUUAACAGCAGACAUUAAGGUUUCAUCAACAUACAGUAUAUGUACGUUAAACUAUAGAUUAAUUAGUAAAUUCUGAAAUUCAAUUGUUUCGAAUUCAUAGAACUUGAUUCAUUAUAUAAUGCAUAAAAACUGAUACAUCACAUAUAAUACAUAAAAAUUGAUCAUCACACACGGUCGCUUUUUCUUCAUAAAAUACAACAAAUUAUUUAUGAUGUUAUUAGAUACACAAACUUCGUCGAGAACAACAAUGCGUUAACGGGCUCUAAUGGUUCGUUGCUUCCUUCUGCCAAAAACUUUCAUGAACCACUCAUGUUUGUACAAAACCACUAUGUGUCCCAUCACUAGUCCAAAUACAACUCCAGGUGCAAAGCCUAAACCUGCUGCCAUCCAACUCAAUGCUUCUUCCUCUUCUUCUUCUUUUGUCUCCACCAGUUCCGAUUGUGUUGGCGCUUUGAUAUCUCCACAAACAUCUUUAAGGGAAAGAGCAUUAAGCCCCAGGUUUCCUUCGUAGGAGGAGCAUUUUUGUCGUUGAAACUGUGUGCCUUGUGGUAUGGAACCUACAAGCUGAUUAUGUGAAACAUUUAUCACUUCUAGAGAUGAGAGGGUCCCAAGUUCAGGAGGAAUCUCACCAGAAAUCUUGUUUUGGGAUAGGUCGAGUGACUCCAGAUUCGUCAAAUUUGUCAAAGUAGAUGGGAUGUGCCCCGUGAAAGCAUUGCUUGACAUGUUGAGAAUAUGAAGUUCCUUAAGGAGACCAAUGGAAUCAGGAAUUGGUCCAUGGAGUUGAUUUCCUGAAAAAUCAAUGGCUGUGUAGGUUGUAAGGAUACGUUCCAUCUCCAUUGACACUCCUUUAUUCAUCAACACAAGUGAGUAGUAGCCUGCUUCUGAAGGACCCCAAAUGUACUCCAGUUCCAUAUUAUUAUCUCUCUUGGAGUACAUCGCAGUCCAAUUCAAAAAGUAAUCUGAUGGCAAUGUACCGGAGAAGUCAUUGUGUGAUACAUCAAUGAUUUUCAGAUGAGGAAAUCCAAACCAAACCCCAUCAGCAUUACGUAAUGUACCAUGAAACCUGUUAGAGUGUAGGACAAGGACUUGAAGUUUCUGCAGAGAAUUCAAGUGGAAGGGAAACAUGUCUUUGAUUGUGUUGCUUCCCACGUUCAAAACUUCCAAAGCAGAGCAACCAACAAGAGAAGCUGGUAUUUUUCCCUCUAAUCGGUUGUGACUGACGUCAAGUGACAUUAAACUCUUGGCGUGAUGAAAUAUUUCAGGAAGAAUUCCGCUAAGUCUGUUGUUACGGAGAUUUAGAUAUGCAAGAGAAGUCAUCACCAGAGUCUCUAAACACCAGGGAAUUGAACCAUGGAGGUUGUUGUUUGAUAGAUCUAGGCCCUCUAGAGAGUUUACUCCACAUAUUGAUUGAGGAAUCUCUCCAGUGAAGUUAUUCUUAGAACCCGAAAAAUAUUGGAGAUGCUUAGAGGAUGGGAUGAAGAGUGGUCCUUGGAAAGCAUUUGAGCUUAGAUCAACAAAACUGUUUUGACUCUCAAGAUAAACUUUUAAGGAUCCAUUGAAACCGCUGAGAGAGUUCUUAGAGAGACUCACAUGCUCCAAUUUUGGCAGUCUCCACAACCAGUCUGGUACUUGACCUUUGAUUUUGUUGUUGGAAAGAUCUAGUUUUUGUAGAUUUCUUUCGUAUCUUACGAACUCAGGGAACUUAGUGAUGUUGCAGCCACUCAAAACUAAAUAUUCCAAACUUGAUGGGAAAUCCGAAUCAAGAGUGAUGUUUGCUGUUGAAAGAGGGAUGCCAUAUAUAGAUAACCAGUCUAGCUUCUUGAGAGGCAAGAAGACAUUUAAGUUAACUUCUGAAUCAUAGACUUUGUUGUAAUUUCUACUCCCAAUAGAAAUUGUUUGUAAAUUAGGUAAGAGAGAGAUAUUUGAAAUCCCAGCAAAGUCGUUGAAUUGGUUAUAACGCAAAAAGAUUUUGGUCAAAGAGGGAAUCUUGACUAGGGAUGAAAGAAUGGCUCCGUUAAAAGAACUGGCAUCAGCCGCAAAACUCUCUAAUUUGGAGAAUUGGCUAAUGAUUGGUGGAAGAGAACCAGUGAACUGAUUUGGAGAGAGCCAGAGUUCACGUAGUUGGGUAAAAUUGAGUAUUGAAGCUGGCAAGUUUCCACUGAGCGUGUUACCACUAACAUAAAAAAUGGUCAGCUGUUUUAAAUUGCCAAUUGAAGAUGGAAUUUCACCAACAAGAUUAAAAUUCCAACCAAGAUUAAGGAUAGAGAGAUGAGAAAGGUUCCCAAGUGAAAAUGGAAUCUUCCCUGUGAAAUGAGAAAAGGAAAGAGUCAAAGAAAUCAAAUGUUUGAGGCUGCUAAUGGAGUCGGGUAUGGGACCAGAAAAAGCUGUUAGUUUAAUGGUCAGAUGUAGCAAAGAAUUAUUCUCACGAAAAGAGGGAAGAUUGCCUCUCAGAUUUGGAUUGUUGAUUAAUCUAAUGGACUGUAGGCUGGGUAUCAGAAGAACACUACUUGGAAAUUUUCCACAGAGGUUGCAGUAGCUAAGAUCUAGUGACCUUAGAGAUCGCAUUUUUGAAAACUCAUGGGGGAUUUUUGAAGAAAUGUUUACAUUGCUCAUAUCGAGUUCUCUAAGACUCCUCAAAUUUUGAGCAAGUAGAUGAAGAAAAGAUUCAUCAAUAGAUAAAGAAGAAGAAGAAUCAGGGUAAAAACUAGAAGAAAGAUGGAGAGACACCAACUUGGUUAGCUGAAGAAGGUUGACUGGAAUUUGGCCUGAAAGUGAAGAAUCAGAGAGGUCAAGUGUUUCUAGCUUCAUGAGCUUAUCAAACUGAGCUGGGAUUGACGAACCGUUGAAAUUAUUGCCAGUAAGGUUCAAAUCACGGAGAUGAAGCAGUUUAAACAGACUACUGUUGGAUUCGAGCUUGCCGUAGAGGUAGUUGAAACUAAGGUCUAGUCCGAUGACUCUGCCCGACUUAGCAGCACACGUGAUGCCAUCCCAAGAACAACAAUCACUUUUUAUCACCCAAGAUUCUGUCUUUAUACCUGAAUCAACGUCCAAAAGAGGCUUCUUGAUCAAAAACCCAGUCUUAAACUCUAGAAGAGCAUCCCUUUCGUCAAGAUGACACAAGUGUUGUGUAGAAGAAACAAAUCUGUUUAGCAAACAUGAAACGAAAAAAAGGAAAGAGAUGGAACGAAGAAGGAAGCUCAUUUUCUGAUUACAUAAGAAAGCUUUCAUAUUUUUGAAUUAAAGAGUAAUCUGAAGUAGUGAUGGUGAACUAGUGUUGCAGGUCACUUACAUAUAUAUAUAAAAUCAAACACAUGAAGCUCCAUUGACUUAACAUUUUGAAGUCUUUUCCAUGAAAUUUCUUCCCCACAAAGAAUAUUGUGAGUCUUUCCAAAUCCAAUAGACUUGACUUAAUAGAUCAUAAACUCUCUUGCCCCAAAAAAAAAAUCAUGUUGUAAGAAAUUAGAAGCAAAGAUCAAAAAAUCAUUCUCAGUGAGUAAAUUAAAAUUGGAGUUUAGUGAGGACAAGUAUAAAAAUCAAAGUGCCGUGUAGCUUAUCCUUAAAAUGCUUACCAAGUUGUCAUCUGUCCAAUUCUAACCUAAAACAUACGUCAAUAUUAACUUUUCAAAAGUUUGAACAUUAGAUUCUUUAUAUGAGCCAAGCCAGAUUAAAACAAAACUUAGCUUGGCCAAAUUGAAGAGUUUUGUUCUCAAAACUGUACGUUUAUACUUGUCUGUAUUAACAACGAAUAUCAUAAAGUCUCGUUGAUGCUUGUGUUCUCAUAAUAUCACGAACCCAUACGUUACGUUUUAUCUCUCAAAGGAAUGUUCCGAUAAUAACCAAAUUUUAUUUACUUCUGAUCAUCAUAUACACAAAUAUUCUGGAGAUAAUUACACAAACUAUUUCUUACACAUUUUAGUACUUUAAUUCUAAACGUACAACAUAUAUGAAUGGUACGAUUAAUCGAAUUUGAAAUCUUUACAUUGAACGAAAGAUUGAUUAUAAGUUUUGGUUAUGUCUCACACUCAGGAAUCAGGAAAACAGCCAUAGAGUGUUUUUUUCCUUGUUUUAGUUUCAGUUUUUAAUUUUAUUUUGCUAAGAAUGUAAAAUUUUCAUUUAUUUUUUUUUUAAAAUAAAUAGAUUUACAAUCGAUGAUUAUAGACCUUAGGAUAAUAAUAGUUUCAGCUUCACUUUCUCUGGUCUAACAAGUCAAGUCGUCUAGUAAUCCAAUCUGAUAUAUAUAAAGUCAUGCCAGAGAGCUUCACGUGUAUAUUUGUGAUUAAAGUCAGGUUGCUUGGGGUUCUUCUUAAUUACUUGUCCUGUUAUCACACCAAUCAUUUUUGGUGCAAAAGAGACUUUUCACAACCAUUUUUGGCAUGUCAUCUUCUAAGGUAAUAACACCAAAAAUAACACCAAAAACAGAAAAGGCAUGUCAUCUGAGUAAAUUAUAUAAGAAAAUAAAUACCAAAACCUAGAAUUUUAUGUUUUUUAUUUUUAUUUUUUUUGUGGCUGUAAAACAUCAUUAAACUUAUCUCUAGGAUUGCGCAAAACUUAUUUCUUGGCUGACAUGUUACUACUACCACUCACAAAUCGCUUCACUGUCCCAGAGGGGCUAUAAUAUUCUUUAGGAAGGUGCUGACUAAUUUUCGCAAUAUUUGUUAAUUUUCGCAAUAGGUGUUGAUCUAAAAAUCUAUAAUGUAUUGUAUGAAUAAAGUUGAAAGACUUUGUAGCAACAAUGCACUCAAAUGAGAAAUUACAAUCAGAGAUUGUAAUAGAAUAUCCUAAGCAGUUCCCAAUAAUUGGGUUCGAGAAAGAGUCCAUGAGAUACAACGAGUAGUAGUUUCAUUGAGUGGGUUGACACGUUUCCACAUCUAUGAUGAGAUGCUUUUUAAAUUUGCAGAGAUCAUGAACCAGAAUAUAAACUGAAAUAGAACUGUUGUGCUACUCAACUUCAACAGUAAGAAAUGGUAUUAACAUCAUUCAUCACCAAUCAUAGGAAACAAGACUGAUCAAUUUUUCACUGAAAAAUCUCAACAAACAAGCGCAUAAGACCAUAUCAAAAAGAGAAGGAUCAAAUGAGUAAGUAACUAACAACAAGAUGAUAGAAGGAAACCUAAAUUCGUAAAUGAAAUCAAGAAUCACAGUGAGAACUAUUCAUAAAUUCUAUUGCUGCACAAAACUUCCUCUGCUUUCAUAACAUAAAUGGGUUGCAUCACAACAAAACUGACAUAUCUCAGACACAAGUUUCUUUAAGAUUUAUGUAUGCAUGAACAAAUACAAAAGACACUCAUUGAAUCAAUCAUCAUUCCACACAAGAUCAGAACACCAAAGAACAGCAGAUAUAGUAAGCACACACAACUAUACGAUCAUCCAGAACAACGUAUCGCUGUCACAUAGUUACCUACACUGCUACAUUUAAAUAAAAGAACACAAAACAUUGUAACACUCAUACGACAAGUAAGUGAAUGGUUUUCUAAACGAACUUGAAUGUCACAAAUAGUAGAAAAACGCAGUUUUUUUAAUCUUUGUAUAAAGAAAUCAAAAUCCUACCAGAUAUUAAAACUGACAAUUUAAUAGGAAUAAAAAUAUAUCAACAGAGGAUCAUGAGUUAUACCAUUUUAAUUAGCUCGUCACCUAAAGACACUCACCAACUCAAUCUUCCAUGAAACUUUUGACCAAUUAAACUAUGAAUAUAGCAAGUUCAAAAAGCGUUAAACUAAGCAAUAUAUAUGAGCAUAAACAUUAGAAACAGAGUUAUAAGACUUCGAAAAAGAUAAAUCCUAAGGGUCUAACCUGAAAAUAACCUGAUGAUCUUUGGAAACCUGAGAACAACUGCCUGCAAAAUAAUAUGUGAUGUAAGUCUUAAUAAUGUCUACAAAACAUAUGAACUUUUUAUACGGCAAAAAAACAAAGAAGAAUAUAUUAAGCUUAGAAGCAAUAGCAACACAAAACUGAAUGUAAAGUAAUAAAAAAAUAUAUAUAGAAGAAUAUAAAUUUACAUACGUCGAAUUAUUAAAGAACUCUUGUAAGCAAGUCAAGAGGUAAGGAACUACCUAAGCUACGUCAAUUAGGAGAUCUACCAAUUCGUUUCGAAACCCUAAUUUAAAUUUUUAAUAUUAAACUCUAAUUUUGGUUCUUAGAUUAGAGAAUCAAAACCCUAGCUAGUUAAACAGUUGUUCUUAUACAAUCAACGAGAAAUCGAAACCAAUUCAAUAAAAUCGAAAACUCAAACACUGACUUCGAUGGAAGAAAUUAAAGAACAUACACUGGAUUGAUUGGAUCGGCGAGCAUCGUGUUGCUUCCAUACUUAUAAGAUAGACACUGAAGAAGAUGAAGAGAACGUAAAAGAGAGAGAGAGAGAUCGAAGAAGAUCGGCGAGCCUCGUGUUGUUUCCAUACACCUAGGAGAGAAUGUAAAAGAGGGAUCGAAGAAUAUGAACAGAACGUAAAAGAGAGAUGGAGAGAUAGAGAGAGAUCGAGAGAUAGAGAGAGAUCGAGAGAUAGAGAGAGAUCGAAGAAGAUGAAGAAAACGUAAAAGAGAGAGCGAGAGAUAGAGAGAGAGAUCGAAGAAGAUGAAGAGGAUAUGACUAGGGUUUUAUUUUUUCGGCUCUUUCUCGGUUAUUUUCCAUUUAUUCAGAUUUAAAUAGAAGAAGAAGAAAAAACAAAUAUCUCUAACGGUUAUAAAAAUACAAAGAUUUAGUUAAGUGUCAAUCUCAUCAGGUUUUAAAUAUUUAGGAAUAUCAGAGAUGAGGCUGUGCCGUAACAACGAAGCAAUCCAUCUUGCGGUCGUAUAUAUCGAACGGUAUACACGUGUUGAUUAGUUUUAGACAAAUCCUUGUUUCUUUGUUACAUUUUUUUUACAUGUGUUCGUUUUUCUUGAACCAUCUAUGUUUUUUAUAUAUAAAAAAUCCUUGAUUUUCUAAAUGUAUAAAACAAAUUAUGCAAUAAACUAUAAGUUUUAAAAAGAGAAGGAAAAAAACAAACUUAUUGAUAGCAGUAAGGGAAAUUAUGGGAAAUUAUAAAAAAAUGUUAAACAUGAUUUAAAAGGUAUAUCUUCUUCAGAAAUACGAAAGUCAAAUCCUUAAAAGUUUAAGUCGACCAGAUUUUAGCAUUACCUGAUUUUGGAAGAUCGUAAUAUAAGAUAAGUACAUUUUAGUGUAAGUUGACCCAAAAAAAAGUAAUAAUAAUGAUAUGUUAAGAAUGUGUAUAAGUUAAUAUUCUUCAACUUAUUUUUUCAUAUAUAUAUAUAUGAGCUUUUAUUACAGUAGUUUACUUGAAACCCUAAUUGAUCACGAGAGAAACAAGGAUGAUAUCCCAACUGCCACAAGAUUUGAUAGAAGAGAUACUAUAUAGGGCCCCCGUGACAUCCCUGAGACGAUUACGAUCUACUUGCAAAGGAUGGUACCAUCAAGCUUUAUUCAAAGAUCCUAGAUUCAUCAAAAAACACUUUGACAAAACAGCAAGGCAUCUAGUUUCUUAGAACACAAGAAACACAAAAUCUUAAGAACACAAGUAAAAGAAUUACUCUCUUUAUUAGCUUUAGAAAAAUCCCUCAAAAACUAAAGCUCUCUUGUUUCUCAAAUCUCACAAGUUAUGCCACACAUUGACAUCUCCUUAUAUAAUGAGAAAACCCUAGGACAAUUCCUAAUCAAAAUAGGUAAUAUUACAUAUCUAGAUUGCUCCUAAAUAUGUUUGUCCUUAUCUCCUAAACCAUUACUCGGUUUGCUUGUGGUUCAAGCUUAAACCAACAUUCUCCCCCUUAAGCUUGAAGCCAUCCUCCUCCAAGUCAUGAACACCAAUAUAACUUCUCAUCUCCUUGAACUUGACUCGUCCAAGCGCCUUUGUCAAAAUAUCAGCCUUUUGUUUCUCCCCUGGAACAUACUCAACUUGAAUUUGUCCAUUCUCAACACACUCUCUUAUGAAAUGAUAUCUUCUAUGAAUGUGUUUGGACCGACCAUGAAACACCGGAUUCUUCGUAAGAGCUAUUGCAGAUUUGUUGUCAAGUAGUACAACAACCUUCUCGGAUAGUGAUCCAGUUAUCUCACUAAGCAAGUCCCGGAGCCAUAUCGCUUGUCUUGCCGCCUCUGUUCCGGCCAUGAAUUCUGCUUCACAAGACGACAUCGCCACCGUGUCUUGUUUAUGCGAACACCAAGAUAUAGGGCUUCCUUCUAAGUAGAAGAUGUAACCAGCUGUGCUUCUACCAUCAUCCGGAUCAACAUUAUGACUACUAUCACUAUAGCCUAUCAAUCUUGGUAUCUUUGAUACCGAUUGUUCAAAGACAAGACCAAGUGUAGUAGUUCCUUGCAAAUACCUCAAGCAUUGUUUCAUAGCAGCUCCAUGAGAUACUUUCGGAUUCUGCAUAUAUCGACUCAAAAUUCCCACGCAAUAUGUUAGAUCCGGUCUCGUAUGAAGUAGAUAACGAAAGCACCCUACAUGUUUCCUGUAUCUUGUAGCAUCAAUGCUCUUCUCAUCUUCUGCCUUUGACAAUUGUAGACCGGUUUCCAUUGGUGUGUGAGCCAAGUUACAAUUCCUCAUGCCAGCUUCUUCUAAAAUCUUUGUUGCAUAGCGUUUUUGAUUUAACAUGAUUCCUCCUUCGUGUUGAUACACUUCAAUCCCGAGAUAAUAAGUCAAUUUCCCGAGGUCGCUCAUGUCAAAUUUCAACGCCAUUUCCCUUUUAAACUCAUCAAUAACCUCUAAGCAUGUUCCUGUGACAAAUAGAUCGUNNNNNNNNNNNNNNNNNNNNNNNNNNNNNNNNNNNNNNNNNNNNNNNNNNNNNNNNNNNNNNNNNNNNNNNNNNNNNNNNNNNNNNNNNNNNNNNNNNNNCCUUUGCACACUUUGUGAAUUGUAACUCCAUGAGUAUUGCAUUCAGCUUAUUGUUCCACGCUCUUAGAGCUUGCCUUAAACCAUACAAAGCCUUAUGAAGUCUGUAGACUUUGUCUUCACACCCUUUUUCCUCAAACCCUUCUGGUUGCUUGACAAACACGGUUUCUUUUAACUCCCCAUGAAGAAAGGCUGUCUUAACAUCGAGGUGAUGAAUCUCCCAUCCAUUCAAGGCAGCGAGGUUGACAAGUAGGCGUAUUGUCUCAAGACGGGCUACAGGCGCAAAGACUUCAUCAAAAUCAACUCCGUACCGUUGGACGUAUCCCUUAGCGACUAGUCGAGCCUUGUAUUUAUUAAUGCUCCCAUCAGAAUUCCUUUUAAUCUUAAACACCCACUUCAAACCAAUUGCUUUUUCUCCAAUAGGUAGAUCUACAAGACUCCAUGUGUUGUUCUUUUGAAUCGAGAGAAUCUCAUCUUCACAUGCCCGUAUCCAUUCCUUUGAUACCUUUGCUUCCUCGAAACUUCUUGGUUCAUUAUUCAGACACAGCAGAAGUCUUUCUCCUUCCUCUUCAGCAAGUAACACAUAGUCUUCAAGAUAUUUAGGUUUUGAAACCUCUCUUUGUGUUCUCCUUAAUGCUAUAGGUUGAUCAUCGAUCUCCACAUCUUCAUCUUCUGUUUCAAGUGAUACAACCGAUCCAUUUUCUUCUGAAAUAGUUUCAUUGUUGUUUUCAUUGUUGUCUUCGUUUCGGGAUUCAAGCUCUUCUUCAUUCUCAUGGUCAUUCUCUCCCUCUUCAUCGUUCCUUUCAACAAUUUCUUGGAUCCCAUGGUUUCCUAAUUCCCCAAAUGUCACAAUAAAGUUUCCAUCGAGAUCCGAUUCUGAGUUGUUUCUACUCCAGUUCCAGCCUUUGGUCUCAUCGAAUACAACAUCUCGACUGACAACAACUUUCCUUGUUUUUGGAUCGUACAUUCGGUAUGCUUUUGACCAGGUUCAGUACCAAGAUGAACAAGCAUACGGGAUCUAUCAUCAAGCUUCUUUAGAAGAUGCUUCUCAAUCUUAGCAUAUCCAAUGCACCCAAAAAUCCGAAGAUGAUCAAUAUUUGGCUUCUUAUCUCGAUAGACCUCAUAUGGUGUUUUAGCCUUGAGUGUUCUUGUGGCAACUCUAUUCAAGAGAUAAGUGGAAUGUCGUAUCGCUUCUCCCCACAAAUGAUUUGGCAUAUGCAUAUGCUUCAGAAUGCUUCUCGCCAUCUCCAUAAGUGAUCUGUUUCGUCUCUCGACAACACCGUUCUGUUGAGGUGUGUAUGGUGCCGUAAGAUGCCGUGUGAUACCCGAAUCGGCACAAAAUUCAUUAAACUCUUGCGAUACGAACUCUCCACCUCUAUCAGUUCUGAAUGUUUUUAUGCUAGCUCCAGACUCUCGUUCAACUAAGCUUUUAAACUUCUUGAAUUUCUCAAAAGCCUCACUCUUCUCUUUUAGCAAAACAGUCCACAUGUACCUAGAAUAAUCGUCAAUGAGAACAAAGAUAUACUUAUUGGACCGCAAAGAUCUCCAUGUAUAAGCUCAAGUAGUUUAGUUGCACGGUAAGUAGUUGCUUGAGGAAAGACUUGUCUUGUUUGCUUCCCUAACAUACAAGAUCCACAUACUUCUUUCUCAACAUUAAACAUUGGAAUUCCUUGCACAAGCUCUCUUUGUAUCAUUGACUUGAUCGUGUCGAGGUUUAUAUGUCCUAACCUUGCAUGCCAUUUAUUUGACUCGCUUAUACUUGCUAGGUGUAAGCAUUCAUGUUCUAUGAUUCCCAUUCGAACUUUGUAAAGCCGGUUCUGUCCUCGAUUUGCUUUUACAAGUAGUUUCCCAUCAUGGUCAUGCAUAGUUAGACAUUCUCCUUUCAUACGUAUAUCACAACCUGUUUCGGUAGCUUGCCCAAGACUGAUGAUGUUGCUUUUCAAAUCGGGAAUGAAGUAAACAUCUCUCAUUGUUCUUGGUUCUCCUUUCAUAUCUGUAAAAGCUAUCGACCCUUUUCCUUUGAUGUCUAUCCUUGAAUCAUCACCAAAUCUCACCUUUCCUGUAAUUGAUCUAUCCAAUCUGGAGAAAUACCUUUGAUCACCAGUCAUGUGGUUGCUAGCCCCAUUAUCAAGGUACCAAACAUCAUCCUCUCCUGUGCUUGAGUUGUAGUCACUAGGUUUGCAGUGUUUUUCAUUCAAGUAUACAACCUCAUGCAUCAUGAGUUCAUCCGCUUCUUGAGUCUCAUUUGUAUUCUCUUGGGCUUCUUGUAACUUAAGUAAGCGGUCGGGACAUGUCGAUGCAUAAUGCCCUAGUUUGUCACAACGGAAACAGGUCACCUUGGAUGUAUCUCGUCCUCCACCAGUCCGGCCACGGCCUCUUCCUCGAUAUCGUCCUCCACGACCGCGACCGCGAUUUCCACCGUUAUACUCUUGGUAAGAUUGCUCAGUUGAGGACUCCAUGUUCGCAUACAUCAAUUUGCUUUGAUCUUCUUGUGGCUCAUCUUCGUCAGCUAUACGUUCCUCAUAGGCCUUCAAACGUCCAAUGAUGUCUUCAAAACUAGUAUUAUUAAGAUCUAGGGCCUGUUCAAGAGAGGCCACGAGGUGAAUGUAUUUCUUUCGUGGUAAACACUUAAGAAAUUUCUUAACUAACUUUGAUUCUUCCAUGAUGGCUCCUAACGCUGUUGAUUUAGAUGAUAUCUCUGAUAUUCUUCCACUGAAAUCAUCUAUUGUUUCUGAAUCUUUCAUCUUCCGACGAUCAAAAUCAGACAUUAGCGUUUGGAGUCUAGCUUCUUUAACCCGAUCUGCUCCUACAUAUCUCGCCUUUAUCGCAUCCCAAAUCUUCUUCGCCGUAUUCAGUUCUCCAACUUGGAGGAUAAGUGCCUCGGGGAUAGAUUGUAACAACAAGGCGACAGCCAUGUUGUUCUUCUCAUGAUUAACCGGAUCCUCGGGCUCGGUUUCUAUAGUUUCCCAUGCCUUAUGAACCUUCAGCGCAGCUUUCAUCCUCAAUACCCAUACGGUGUAGUUAACAGAGGUUAGCAUUGGACACUGGAUAGACGAAGAUCCUCCGCCUUCUCUCGGUCGAUCAGCAACGAGAAUUAUGUCACCCAUAUUGUCCUCACGAUCUUAGAAAGCUCUGAUACCAAUUCUAGUUUCUUAGAACACAAGAAACACAAAAUCUUAAGAACACAAGUAAAAGAAUUACUCUCUUUAUUAGCUUUAGAAAAAUCCCUCAAAAACUAAAGCUCUCUUGUUUCUCAAAUCUCACAAGUUAUGCCACACAUUGACAUCUCCUUAUAUAAUGAGAAAACCCUAGGACAAUUCCUAAUCAAAAUAGGUAAUAUUACAUAUCUAGAUUGCUCCUAAAUAUGUUUGUCCUUAUCUCCUAAACCAUUACUCGGUUUGCUUGUGGUUCAAGCUUAAACCAACAAGGCAGUAUCAUGCUCUUAUGCUGUUUGGCAAUACGGUAUGUCCAAUGAGCUCCAUUGUCGAUAGGGUUACGAGAGUGGUCAGUAUAUAUCCGCAUCGCCUAGCUCUUCCCCAUCGUGACGAAUUCGUCAGUUUAUCUGAAGCCUUUCACUGCGAUGGCAUAUUGCUAUGCAACCUCUUGAUGAAGACCAUGAUUGUGGUUUGGAACCCGUUUUCGGGGCAAACCAGGUGGAUCCAAGUUACCCAACUGCAAGAACACUAUAUAGGAGCCUAUGCUCUCGGAUACAACAACAAGGAGUUGUGUCGUAGCUACAAAAUCUUGAGGUUCCGGUGUCAAUACGAAAAGUUGGCGGCAUCAUGGGGCUGGGGUGCACUUAAUGUCACUCCGGAACCAGAAGGCAACAUUAUAUCGGAAAUAUAUGAGUUUAGCUCUAAUUUAUGGACGAAUCUGGAUUCGGUCCUUCCCGAUCAAGCCUACUUAAAACCUAGUGGUGGUGUAUCUUUAAAUGGGAAUACUUAUUGGAUGUCGUGUAAUAAAAAAGGACACUACUCACUACUCAGUUUUGAUUUUUCAACAGAAAAGUUUCAACGUUUAUGCGCUCCCUUUCAUCAUGAACCAUGCCAUAAUGAUACUAGGGUUCUCUCGGUUGUUAGAGAAGAACGUCUCUCGUUGUUAUAUCAGAGUAGGAAGACACUAGAGGUGGAAAUAUGGAUGACCGAUGAGAUUGAGACCACAUUUGUGUCGUGGAGCAAGUUCUUAAGAGUAGAUUUAUUAGGAUUAAACCAUUGUUUUUCGGAUUCCAUGAGCUUCUCCAUUAUCGAUGAGGAGAAGAAAGUUGUCGUGUGUUGUGAUGAAGCGGGAAAUUUCGACUUCACAAUGGUUUGGAUUGUUAAAGAAGGAGAAGAAUAUAGAGCAUCACAAUGGUUUGGAUUGUUAAAGAAGGAGAAGAAUAUAGAGCAUGGAGUAUACCACUUCUUAGUGUUCCAAGAUUGUUUGGUUAUGUUCCGAAAAAUUAGCAUUCUUGUCUCUUUAAUUUGCUUCCUUUGUUAUGUCCUUGGAUUGAUGGAUGAAAUAAUAUAGUAUUUUCUUGAAGUCUGGUAAAGUAAUGUGACUUUGCACAUAAACGGAAAACAAACAACACUGGUCUGUCUAGCUACGUCCAGAGAUUUCCCAGUUUGGAUUGUUUGUUUAUAUAGCUGGUACAUUACAUUUUACACUUUCCAUACCAUUAUUUCCAUACAGUAUAUCCCACUUUUUCUAUUAAACCUUGAUAUAUAUAUAUAUAUACUAGAAAGUUGCCCACGCGAUGCGUGGGUUAUACAUGAAAUAUUAAUUAAAAAUUAUAUUAAGUUAUAUAUAGUGUACAAGUGUUAAUAUAUGUUUUGAAAAUAAUUUUAAAAUAAAAUAAUAUGUUUAUAUUCAUUUAUAUGUUUAUUACAAAAUAAUAUUAAUUUUUAUGUAUAAAACAAAAUAAUUAACGCACAAACAAAAUCGAACGCGAUCACAAAAUUAGUAUAAAACAUAUUUUGUGUACAUUGUAAACAUUAAAAAUAAACGAAAAGUAUAUUUGGAAAAUAGAAAACUGAAUGAGAUCUAAACAAAGUAAUACAAAAUUAGCACAUACACAAUAUACAAAAUUAGCACAUACAAAAUUAUGAGCAUUUGUUACUCACCUUAUAUUUUAUCAUAACCUAAAAGUAACUUAAAUUUUAAAAAUGAUCAAGUUAAACUUUUCAAAAUAUAAAAUUAAAAGAUUUCAUUUGAAACAUAUGAUAUAUUGUUUUAAACUUUAUUUAGAAAAGAUUUUUCAAUUUAGAUUAUAAAAGCUUUUAAACUAUAGUUAUGUAAAAAGUAAAAAGAGAGAUCAUAAGCCAAAUAAACAGAAGAAGAUUACAUGAGAAUAAGAACUUUGAUAUUUUUUUUAUUUUUUUUUAUUGUAAAGGAAGCUGACAUAGGAGGUAGAUGAGAAUAUACAUAUAUAGACUUUUUAAUGUAGCAUUAGUUUAGUUUUAAAAUUACUACUAAAUUUUUUAAAAACAAAUAUGCAUGAAGAUUUACAUUACUAUAAAAGCUAAAUAAAUGAAUCCAAACUAAAAUAGCAUAACAUGUUUACACCAAAAUUAACAAAGAAGAUGAACAACGACAUCUAUCUAUUAUAUGUACAUGACAACAAUUCUGAACUACUUAUAAGAAAUCGAUUGUAUGUUUGGUCUCUCUAGGAAAUAAUAACUUAGGUUAGGUAUUUGUAUUGUUAUGAAAAAGACAAGUUAUUAUUUAUUUAUAACAAAUGAGGUUAAAUUACUAAGAAUGUAGACUGAGGUAUGAUAUUGUUGUGUAACUCAUACAUUAUUUAUCAUAAUUUAAUAGGAUUUCAAUGGUGAACAUUAUUAAAGAAGAUGAACGACGAUAUCUAUAUAUUAUAUGUACACGACAAUAAUACUAACUACUUAUGAAAAAUCGAUUUUAUGUUUGGUCUCUCUAGGAAAAAUAACUUGGGUAGGUAUUUGUAUUAUUAUGAAUAUAAAAAUUAUUAUUUAUUUUUAGCAAAUAAGGUUAAGUUACUAAGAGUGUAGAGUGGGGUAUGAUAUUAUUGUGUAAUUAAUACGUUAUUAAUUAUCAUAAUCAUUGUAAUUAAUAUAUUAUUAAUUAUCAUAAUUAAAUUAAUGAAUUAAAUUAAAUAUAACAUUCAUAAAAUGUAUGAUCUUUAAAAGAAAAAUAUUGAAGGACAAAUUCUUUUGUAAGCAAGUAUAUAUAUAUUUUUUAAACACUUUGACUGCAAAUUUUAAAUAAACUAAAUAUUAUAAUUUUUUUAUAUAAUAGUCUAUUUGAUCACAAAAACUAAAUAACAGAUAUAUUAAAAUGAAUUAAAAAAACUAUUUGAGAUUAAAAAAAAAUAAGAAAACAUUAUUUGAUAAAUGUUUUAAAUCGAAAUUUUUAUUUAUAUAGCAAUCAAAACUGUUAUAUUACAUAUGUGUUAUAUCAAAUUUUCUUGAUUCAUAAGUAUGAAAAUAUAAGUAUAAUAAGGCGUUAGAAAAAAAAAAUUGAAGCUUUAUAAGAGAUAUAUAGCAUACUUUCUAAAAUAAAUUUAGAUCAAAUUCUUAAAUUGAUAUUUUCAUUGAUUCUCAAUCAAUAUAACAACAUAAAAGUAGUAAAAUAUUUAAGAUACAUGAAUAUAGUGGCUGAGAAUGAGAGAAGCAUUAAUUAUAAGAUGAUAAUGUAAAACAAAUGAUAGAGAUGAAUCUUUAAGAAAGAAAAAAUUAAGAGACCUUUCAUAUAUUCAUAUAGUGUAAAACGAAAAUUUUGAAAACUGUUAUAUUACAUAUGUGUUAUAUCAAAUUUUCUUGAUUCAUAAGUAUGAAAAUAUAAGUAUAAUAAGGCGUUAGAAAAAAAAAUAUUGAAGCUUUAUAAGAGAUAUAACAUACUUUCUAAAAUAAAUUUAGAUCAAAUUCUUAAAUUGAUAUUUUCAUUGAUUCUCAAUCCAUAUAAGAAGGGCUUGUUAAAUUUGGGUGCGUAGAUAAUCUGAAAACAAAAAAUGAAUGUGUGAUAAAUUUUUUAUCAGAUCUCUCUCCUCUGCCUUAUCAAAGUUACCUUUUUAGCCCUCAACCUGGUUUAACUAAAAAUAUAAACUGACAGAAACUAAAUAGGAUGCCUAGGCUAGGGAAAGAUUUCCUCGAAAAAAAUCUGACUACUCCAAACUUACGCCGACGUUGGUGAUAAAUUUUAAGUUAUCAACUAUUUUUUCUAUUAUCUAUGUACUAAUGAUUUCCAAAUGAAAAUAUAAUUUUGUUUAAUUACAAAAUAUAAACCCUAACCACUAUUUUAUCAACCCAAACCAAAAUAUAAUUUCGUUUAAUUACAAAAUCUAAACCCUAACCAAUAUUUUGUCAAUCCAAACUGAAAUAUAAUUUCAUUUAAUUACAAAAUCUAAACCUUAACCACUAUUUUUUCAACCCAAACAAAAAUAUAAUUUCAUUUAAUUACAAAACUAAACCCUAACCACUAUUUUGUCAGCCCAAACCAAAAUAUAAUUUUGUUUAAUUACAAAAUCUAAUCCCUAACCACUAUUCUAUAAACACAAACAAAAAUAUAUUUUUGUUUAUUUAUAAAAUCUAAAGCCUAACCACUGUUUUAUAAACUCAAACUGAUACAUAUUCCAUGAAUUUGAUAACACUGUUCAUCAGUGAUUAAAAGCAUUCGAUAACUUUUUUAAAAACAUGUUAAAUAAUAUGUUAUCGCGGUAAGUUACAUAUUAUCCGUUAAAUUGAGUAUUUAUAUAAACCGGUAAUAUAAAUAUUUUAUACAAGUACGUAAAUAUAUAUAUUAGUUGAUAUCAGUCAUAUAAUAGUUAAUUUAACUAGAUAAUUAUGAGUUUAUCGAAUAACUUAUAAUUUAUAGCGGUAACAUAUAUUUAACUAUAAAUAAUUUAACUAGAUAACUAUGAAUUUAUCAGAUAACUUAUAACGUAUACCAGUAAGAUAUGAUUUACAUAGUUAACCAAAUAAAUAACCAUAAAUGUUAUAGUUGAUAUUAUAAUAUAUAGCAAAAUUAUGGUGGAUAUUUUCUCUCAAAAUCUUGUUGCAAUAUAUCUACUAAAAAUCUAAUCAAAUAUAUCACAUGAAUAAUCAAAUCUUUAUUAAAAAAAUAUAUUACAAUUGGGUUUUGGUUUCUCACGUCUAAACACAUGAAUAAUCAAUCUUCCUUUGCUCCAUNNNNNNNNNNNNNNNNNNNNNNNNNNNNNNNNNNNNNNNNNNNNNNNNNNNNNNNNNNNNNNNNNNNNNNNNNNNNNNNNNNNNNNNNNNNNNNNNNNNNCCUCUAAAAAAACUUCAAAUCUUCUUCCUCUUUAAAAACUCUUGCUUUGAAGUAUCUUUGUCCUUCUUCACCGCAAGAAUUUCUUAAGUAUGAAAACCAAUAAACACACAAUGAGAAAAAGAAGAAGAAGAAAGGGUUUAGAAGAUGAACUUAUCGAAAUGAUUUUCUAGAAAUGUAAACUUAUAUAUAACUUGAUUCACCUGGAGUUGUAUGGUUGGAAAGAAAAACUUCUUUGAAAAUUUUCAGAGAAGAGUUUUUGUCGUAUGAUGAUUUUCAUAUUUUUUGUUUGUGUUUUGUGAAAUGGAAAGAAAAGUUUUAGAAAAUAUUUAUACAUAAAAGAAGUUCUCUGAUAUUUAGAGAUCGUGGGUUAGUUGGUGAUAUUUUGAUUUUUUAUUUUAUUUUUAAUAAAACAGUUUAUCAAACAUAAUUGAAGAAAAUAAUAAAUAAAAGAUGAGGACUUUAGAGAAAAAGUAAAAAUCAUUUUUUGACACUUAAAAUAUAGAAAACAAUCGUGAAUUAAAAUAUUAUGAAAACAAUAAAAUAUUUCGAAAAGUAAUAUUUUAAAUAAAAUUAUAUCAUCUUAAUUUAUGAAUUUUUUUCUAACUACCUCGUUUUUAAAAAAUAUAUAUAAUUUAUUGAUGCUAUUAAUAUAAUUUAUUUUAGCAUCACAUUUUUAUGAUGUUAAUUUUGUAUCAUUUAAAAAAUCGAUUUUAUCAAAAAAAAUACAUACAUCAAUUAUCUAAAUGAUGUAAUUAUGUAUUUUACAUCAAUUUAUUUUAAAGUGAUACAAUCUACUAGAAAUUGAAUCAGUUUUAAAUAAUUGAUGAAAAUUAGUUAAUAUUAGCAUCAGUAAUGUAAUUGAUGUAAAAUUAUUUAUAUUUGCUUCACUUAUUAAAAAGUAAUUUAAAAUAAGAUCACUUAAAUUUGUGAUACAAUUUAAGUGAUACAAUAUAGUCAUUUUUUUGUAGUGUUAUAACCGAUCAGACUGAAAACAAUAUAAUUAGACAUUAAUCAAUAGCUACUAAAAUUAUGUUAAAUUUGUAUCGAGAUAACAAUAUUUGUAUUAGAUAAUAUUAUACUUAUCCAGUCAAAAACAUUGUAUUAGAUAAUAUGUUCAAAACAGCUCUUCCUCCACGAACCUUUGUCUAUGUCCCUCUCCUCUUCUUCUUUUUCUUCUUCUUCCUCCUCUUCUUAUCUGUCCACCGCCGCGGUCGGGAGACUACAGAACUUAAUCGAAGAGUAGGAGAGAGGGAGAAGAGGAGAGAUAUGUAACGAGAAUAGAACGGGAAGUGUAGGGAUCGUGGUGAGAGAUCCGUCGAAGCCGCCGCCGAAGACGAAGCUUGUGGCGAGGAAUGGGAAGCUUAUGGUGGAGGAAGAGGUUAACGCGGUGGGACCAAACGGAACGGAGUUUGUAAUAAUGGCGGUUGAUUCGCCGUUACAGAGAAUGGAUUUUCUUAAGAUACAGAGAAUGAGAACAAUUUAAAUCUUUAUCUCUUACAUUUUUAAUGGAUUUUGUUUUAGUUUUUUUCUUAUUUGAGACAAUAUGGAAAAUGCUUUUGUUAGACUUCGAAAAACACAACACAUUCUCUGAUCGAGUCUACUUAAUUCUUUGGGUAGAAAGAGAGAGAAAGAUGGGGAGAGAAAGAGAGAGAAGAGUUAGAGAAAUGAUGGGAGAGAAAUGUGAACUACAUAGCUAUAGGGAGAAAAAUGUCUCUAAAAAUAUGAGCCAAAUAAAAUUUUAUAGGCAUUGGAUAGUAAAAUAUUUAAGAUACAUGAAUAUAGUGGCUGAGAAUGAGAGAAGCAUUAAUUAUAAGAUGAUAAUGUAAAACAAAUAAUAGAGAUGAAUCUUUAAGAAAGAAAAAAUUAAGAGACAUUUCAUAUAUUCAUAUAGUGUAAAACGAAAAUUUUGAUUAAACUUUUACAAUGUUAUUAAAUAUAUUUUUCUUUAACUGAGACAACAAAUAAUAAACAACAAAGGAAAAAAAAAAAACAAAACAAACAAAAAUAUAUAAGAUUUAAGAUAAAGUGGAAGAAGAUGAGAAAAUGAGUAUUUAGAAGAUAAGAAGUGAUGGGAAUUACAAAUUAGAAGAAGAAAUUGUGCGAGCUAAUUCUAAUUUAUUGUGUGUUAAAUAAAAUUGAGUAGAAAAAUAUAGUUAAUGCACAUUUUUAUUAUUUCAGUUUUUAUAUUAAACUGUGAGUUAAGAAUUAUUUGAAUAAGAAAGAGGUAAUAAUCUAUUAGUUGGAAAUUGUGUUACAAUAAAAUAUUUAAUUAGAUAUUUCAUAAUCAAAAAAGAAAAUGCAUAUAUAAAAUGGAUCUUUAUAACUUAAUUCUCUUGUUGUGCGAUGAUUGGAACUAAUAUAAGAUACUAUGUUAGAUUUUUAUCAUACUUUCUAAAGAUAAUUAUAUCAAAUUCUUAAAAUGAUCAUUUCAUUGAUUUUUAUGUCACAUAAGAACAUAAAAAAAUAGAAAAAAAAUAUUAAAGAUACAUGAAUAUAAUGUAAGAAAGGGAGUGAAUGUACUUAUAUGUUGAUAAUUAAAAAUAGAAAAUAGAGAUGAAUUUUCAAAAAAGAAAAAAUUAUAAUAACGUAAGAUGUAUAUCAAUAUAUCAUAUCGUCUCUAAAAGUUUCUACAGUUGAAAUUUUAUAUAAUAGUAUUUAAUUUUUUUUUAAAACUCAUACAACCAAAAAACAAAAGCAAACAAAUUUCAUAUAGAAGAGAAUGAGAGAAUGAGAGAAUGAUAUAAUGAGAAAAUGAGUAUAUAGAGGAAGAGAAGUGAUGGGAGUUACAAUUUCAUAAAACAAUUAUGGGAGUCAAUUAUAAUUGAUUGUGUAUUGAAAAAAUUGAAUGGAAAAUAUAGUUAAUGCAAAUUCAUAUUAUUUUAGUUUUUAUAUUAAAAUGUGAGUUUAAUGUAUAUGAUUAAAUGUGUUUUGUGGUUCUUUGUUUUUUUUCAGUUUUAUAUUAAAGUGUGAAAUAUAUAAUAUGUUUUAAAGUUAUAAGCCAAGUGGACCAAUAAGAAGAUGGUAAAACCUUAUAUAUAUAUAUAUAUAUAUAUAUAUGAUUUAUGAAUAAUAUGAUAGUUAUUCUUUGAUUUAAAUUCAUUAUAUUAUUUUCUCAACUGUUUGAUAAUAGAAAAUUAAAUAAAAUUUGUUGGUUAAAUAGUUACAUAGAAACAAUUAUCUUAUAAAUAAUUUUUAUCCAAAUUUUAUAUAAGAUCUACUGAUUUAUUAUACUGAAAAACAAUCAAGCUUUCUCUAAUUUCAGUAUUUAUCAUAGAUUUGACCAUACUAAAAAAAAUCUCUUUAAUUCUUCUCUUAUAAAUUAACUUUUUAAAAUUAGAAAUUAUGUUAUAAAUAAUUUAUCACCUAUAUUAAUAACUUUAAAAAGGUAUCUUUAAAGGAGUAGGGAAAAAAAGUCAUAGCAAUUUUCUUUGAAUAAAAAAUUAUAACAACUCCAUUUUAUGUUUAGCUUAUAUGAUAUUUAAUUUAAUUAGAAACUAAAAUUAGGAAAAACAUAUUUUUGCAACAAUGACACUUUUUAAAAAGCAAACUAUACAUAUAUCAUAUAACUUACAACACAAUAUCAUAAAAAAAAAUAACUUUGAAAUUUUAGAUUAGAAAUUAAUAAAAAUGACACAUGUGAGAAGCAUAGAGAAAAAAUAACUUUGAAAUUUUAGAUUAGAAAUUAAUAAAAAUGACACAAGUCAGAAGCAUAGAGCGACACAUAUCGCAUUGUGAGGCAAAGUUAAGAAGAAACCUUGUCUUAUUAUAGAAGAUAUAUAUAAACAUCUUUCAUCUGUAUUAUUUUAGUAGCAUUUGAUAUCUUAUGCAUUCUCAAUAAAUAAGCAUACCUAACUCAUGAUGAUCACCAAUUCAAAAUGUACAAUAUGUCAAAACCUUGUUUCGUAUAAAAGGUUUUCUCAUCUUAUUAAGUUGUGUAGGCUUAGCCUUAUAUACACGAUUACAAAAUAACCUAGAUACGUAAAAUAUACUUGACCAAACUAUACAGCAAGUAUAUAUUAAUUACAUAAUACAUCCCUCUCCAAUACAAUACAAUUACAAAAAUAAAAAAAUAAGUUUCUGAAUAUGUGGUAAGUAACUUUACCCCUAGGCGUCAAAUAUUUUGAAUGCUUAAAGUCUAAACUAAGAAACUGAAGGAAAGACAAUUAAUACAUAAACUAGAUUUUACCCCGUGGUACACCACGGGGCCAGUAUUUUAUGCAUAGGUGUUAUGUAAAUAUAUAUGGGUUGAAUUUGAAAGAACUUAGUAUAUGUAUUUAAAAAAAUAAAAAUACUAUUAUUAAAUUCAGAUUUGCUAAAAUAAAGGUGUACGUGUAAAACUUAAGUUUGUAAAUACAUUUAUAUUUGUAAGACAUAGUUGUAACUUAUUACCGAAUAUAUAUGAGUUAAAUUUGAAAUAAACAUAAGUAUUUGUAUUAUAUAAAAAUGUAGUAUUAUUAAACUCUAAAUAGACUAUACUAAGAUGUAUAAUCAAUAUAAUAAACUUAUUUAAUGACUACCAAACAGUAAAAGUUAUCAUCAUAUAUCAAAAUUUUAUAGACAUUUUUAUUCAUUUUAAAAUAAGAAGUAUGACUAAUUUGGUAACUACACUAAAAUUAUCUUUACUUUAUGAUUAUUCGGAAAACCUACCUGUAUUAAUUUAUUUUUGUUUGCUAAACAAAAACUUUAAAAUCCAAGUUGGAAGAGUUGGGUACUCCAAGAUAUAAACUUUAAUGAGAUAUGAUUUAUUACUUAUGAAAAUAUAAAGAACUAAGUCUUUGGCAAUUGUUUUAUUUUUUACUUUGAGAAUUGAUUUGAAUGAGAAACCACAGCUCUAAACCGUAUUAAAACAAAUUUCACGUUUGUUUAAUUAAAAAAAAAGAUAUAUUUCACGUAGGUAAGAAGCCAUGCAUGAGAGAUAUAAUUGUUUAUAUCUUUGUUUUAUCUAUCCUACCAUUUUUUUAGCCACAUAAGUAUUGUGACCAACAAUAAGUGGAUGAAAAGAAAGAUUAGCUAGAGAGAACUAACCCAUUAUUUUGGUUUUUCAGAUUAUCACAAACAAAUAUAAUUCCCCAAAAGCAAAAACAAAAUAGGCAAAUUUUAUGCCUUCAAUAAUAUUUGUAUAUAUUCUCUGAAGAAAAUAAAAUUGGAACAAAUGGAAUUGAAGUUACAUUUAAAUUUCGUCAUUGUUUCUAUAUUUCAUUCAUGCCAAAUAAUAUUAAAUGAAUAUAUAGAACUCAGAAAAUAACUAUAAAUACAAAGGAUAAAUGAAGAAGAAAGAUGAGCAAUACAUAUAUGAACAAACAAUAACUUAUUUUAGAGAUAUACAUUACAGCCUGAAACCGAAGAUCUAUCUAGAAUGAAUCUGUCUAUAGUUCUAUAUUACAUAUUAGAGACACAUAAACAAACGUAUAUUUAGAUGUAGAAAAUAACAUAAAAGUUUAUUCUGAAAUUUCUAUGAGUAAUUUGUGUAUGCUCUUAUGAUUUUUCUAUUGUGUAAAUUGUUGACAAACUAUUUAUAGAGAUCCUUGCUAAUAAGGUUAGGUGUGAUUGAGAAUGUUUGUGUAGCAAUUAGUUUAUGUUUCCUAUAUUUACUCGAUCUUUAACUAAUAAUAAGGAAAUCUUUAAUUAGUUCUGAUUUUAUGAUUUAUGGUUAUAAAUAAAAACGCUUAUGUGUUCUCCUAAUCUAAACAUAUCUUACCAAAACUGAAUUUUGUGAUGAUUUUUUGGCAUUAAUAUUAACAUUAAUGAUGAUUUUUUGGCUUCAAAAUCAUUUUUAUUGCGAAAUUAAAUUUCUUUCUAUAUAGGAAUAAAUUUCAUUCCGAUUUAAUGCUAACUAUAUUCUCAAACUUUACCAAAUUACCAAAUCCCUCUCCAAUACAAUACAAUUACAAAAAUAAAAAAAUAAGUUUCUGAAUAUGUGGUAAGUAACUUUACCCCUAGGCGUCAAAUAUUUUGAAUGCUUAAAGUCUAAACUAAGAAACUGAAGGAAAGACAAUUAAUACAUAAAUUUAUGUGUAUAUAUAUGUUUUUUUUUCUUCUUUUUGUAACUAUCUUAAUUUAGCUGUGUUGUAAUGGAUUUAUAAAGAAUUUCGUUGCUUGCUCAUCAUCGGCUAGAUUCGCACCAUCAACGGGAUCUGUCUCCGUGUCGAUAAUCUCGUCCCAUACCAUAUAAUUGGAUGUGUUUAGCAUAGAACACAUGAUCGAUAAAGGUCCUCUUGUUCUCUUGGUUUGGUCAUUGGGACGACAAGAUCUCCCAUUGUUUCUUCACGAUCCUACAAUGGUUUUAAUAACAAAUCAAGAAUGUAAUGAACUAAUUCAAGAACUUUCUCAAGUUCACAAAACUAAUAAUUUAUGCCACACAUUGGCAUAUACUUAUGUAGAGAAUUCAUAAACAAUACCAUAGUCCAAAUAUUAUUGACAAAAAAAAAAACCAUAAUCCAAAUAGGAAAAAUAUACAUGUUUAGAUAACUCAUAAACUUCUGUUUCCUAAAACCAUAAUUCUGUAGGAUUAUGGUUUAGCUUGAGACUCAAGCUUUCUUCAAGCAUAAACCAACAUUCCGGACAAAAUAGUUUCUACUAUUGGUGAUUUUAAGAUUCCAAAGUUUUAGUUCUCUUUCGGGUUCGACGCUUCAGAUGUUUUGAAAGGAUUGGGACUGAUUCGCCAUUCAGUGAUGAAGACGGUUUAACUGAGAUGGUUGAAUCUCCAGAAAUGGGGAAGAAUCUAUCCGUAUCGAAUAUUUUCCACAAAGCAUGCAUCGAGGUAAACG
RNAcentral lists this long non-coding RNA (24325 nucleotides) under Capsella rubella. RNAcentral's name for it is "long non-coding RNA (CRUB_LNC005112)". The record is from RNAcentral. Lineage: Eukaryota; Viridiplantae; Streptophyta; Magnoliopsida; Brassicales; Brassicaceae.